RNAcentral lists this ribosomal RNA (494 nucleotides) under uncultured bacterium. Its description in RNAcentral is "partial 16S ribosomal RNA". It matches the Rfam family "Bacterial small subunit ribosomal RNA", at positions 29 to 507 of the family's 1533-position model. The record is from RNAcentral.
ACGAACGCUGGCGGCGUGCCUAAUCCCUGCAAGUAGAACGCUGAAGGAGGAGCUUGCUUCUCUGGAUGAGUUGCGAACGGGUGAGUAACGCGUAGGUAACCUGCCUGGUAGCGGGGGAUAACUAUUGGAAACGAUAGCUAAUACCGCAUAAGAGUAGAUGUUGCAUGACAUUUGCUUAAAAGGUGCAAUUGCAUCACUACCAGAUGGACCUGCGUUGUAUUAGCUAGUUGGUGGGGUAACGGCUUACCAAGGCGACGAUACAUAGCCGACCUGAGAGGGUGAUCGGCCACACUGGGACUGAGACACGGCCCAGACUCCUACGGGAGGCAGCAGUAGGGAAUCUUCGGCAAUGGACGGAAGUCUGACCGAGCAACGCCGCGUGAGUGAAGAAGGUUUUCGGAUCGUAAAGCUCUGUUGUAAGAGAAGAACGAGUGUGAGAGUGGAAAGUUCACACUGUGACGGUAUCUUACCAGAAAGGGACGGCUAACUACGUG